GACGAACGCUGGCGGCGUGCUUAACACAUGCAAGUCGAACGGAAAGGCCCUGCUUUUGUGGGGUGCUCGAGUGGCGAACGGGUGAGUAACACGUGAGUAACCUGCCCUUGAAUUUGGGAUAACUUCAGGAAACUGGGGCUAAUACCGGAUAGGAGCUCCUGCUGCAUGGUGGGGGUUGGAAAGUUUCGGCGGUUGGGGCUGGACUCGCGGCUUAUCAGCUUGUUGGUGGGGUAGUUGCUUACCAAGGCUUUGACGGGUAGCCGGCCUGAGAGGGUGACCGGCCACAUGGGGACUGAGAUACGGCCCAGACGCCUACGGGAGGCAGCAGGCGGGAAUAUUGCACAAUGGGCGGAAGCCAGAUGCAGCAACGCCGCGUGCGGGAUGACGGCCUUCGGGUUGUAAACCACUUUCGCCGGUGACGAAGCGUGAGUGACGGUAAUGGGUAAAGAAGCACCGGCUAACUACGUG
Molecule: ribosomal RNA, 468 nt
Filed under: uncultured bacterium
Lineage: Bacteria
Description: partial 16S ribosomal RNA
Rfam family: Bacterial small subunit ribosomal RNA
Source: RNAcentral